AGAGUUUGAUCCUGGCUCAGAUUGAACGCUGGCGGUAUGCUUAACACAUGCAAGUCGAACGGAAACGAAACUAGCUUGCUAGUAGGCGUCGAGUGGCGGACGGGUGAGUAACGCGUAGGAAUCUGCCUGAUAGUGGGGGAUAGCCCGAAGAAAUUCGGAUUAAUACCGCAUAAUCUAUUCGUAGUAAAGUGGGGGACUUUUAAGCCUCACGCUAUCAGAUGAGCCUGCGUAAGAUUAGCUAGUUGGUAGGGUAAAAGCCUACCAAGGCAACGAUCUUUAGCUGGUCUGAGAGGAUGAUCAGCCACAUCGGGACUGAGACACGGCCCGAACUCCUACGGGAGGCAGCAGUGGGGAAUAUUGGACAAUGGGGGCAACCCUGAUCCAGCAAUACCGCGUGUGUGAAGAAGGCCUGAGGGUUGUAAAGCACUUUCAAUUGUGAAGAAAAGUUAACGGUUAAUAACCGUUAGCCUUGACGUUAACUUUAGAAGAAGCACCGGCUAACUCCGUGCCAGCAGCCGCGGUAAUACGGAGGGUGCAAGCGUUAAUCGGAAUUACUGGGCGUAAAGCGUGCGUAGGCGGUUUAUUAAGUCAGAUGUGAAAGCCCCGGGCUUAACCUGGGAACUGCAUUUGAAACUGGUCAACUAGAGUAUGGUAGAGGAAAGUGGAAUUUCUGGUGUAGCGGUGAAAUGCGUAGAUAUCAGAAGGAACAUCAAUGGCGAAGGCAGCUUUCUGGACCAAUACUGACGCUGAGGUACGAAAGCGUGGGUAGCAAACAGGAUUAGAUACCCUGGUAGUCCACGCCGUAAACGAUGAUAACUAGCCGUUGGGGGGAUUUACCCUUUAGUGGCGAAGCUAACGCGUUAAGUUAUCCGCCUGGGGAGUACGGCCGCAAGGUUAAAACUCAAAGGAAUUGACGGGGACCCGCACAAGCGGUGGAGCAUGUGGUUUAAUUCGAUGCAACGCGAAGAACCUUACCUGGUCUUGACAUCCUGCGAACUUUCUAGAAAUAGAUUGGUGCCUUCGGGAACGCAGUGACAGGUGCUGCAUGGCUGUCGUCAGCUCGUGUCGUGAGAUGUUGGGUUAAGUCCCGUAACGAGCGCAACCCCUAUCCUUAUUUGCCAGCACGUCAUGGUGGGAACUAUAAGGAGACUGCCGGUGAUAAACCGGAGGAAGGCGGGGACGACGUCAAGUCAUCAUGGCCCUUACGACCAGGGCUACACACGUGCUACAAUGGGAAGGACAAAGAGCCGCGAAGCCGCGAGGUGUAGCUAAUCUCAGAAACCUUUUCGUAGUCCGGAUUGGAGUCUGCAACUCGACUCCAUGAAGUCGGAAUCGCUAGUAAUCGUAGAUCAGAAUGCUACGGUGAAUACGUUCCCGGGUCUUGUACACACCGCCCGUCAUACCAUGGGAGUGGGUUGCACCAGAAGUGGCUAGUCUAACUUAGUGAGGACGGUCACCACGGUGUGAUUCAUGACUGGGGUAAAGUCGUAACAAGGUAACC
Molecule: ribosomal RNA, 1501 nt
Filed under: uncultured bacterium
Lineage: Bacteria
Description: bacterial SSU rRNA
Rfam family: Bacterial small subunit ribosomal RNA
Source: RNAcentral